CCGUAGGUGAACCUGCGGAAGGAUCAUUAAUGGUGCUUGCAGAAAUGCUUGCACGGCGGCGGCCUUAAAACGCGCCAAAUGGCACCCUUUGUUUACGAGUACCGUUCGUUUCCUCGGUGGGCUUGCCUGCCAUGAGGACCAACAAAAACCUUUUGUAGUAGCAGUAUCUUCAGUAAAAACAAAUAUUAAAACUUUCAACAACGGAUCUCUUGGUUCUGGCAUCGAUGAAGAACGCAGCGAAAUGCGAUAAGUAGUGUGAAUUGCAGAAUUCAGUGAAUCAUCGAAUCUUUGAACGCACAUUGCGCCCCUUGGUAUUCCGAGGGGCAUGCCUAUUCGAGCGUCAUUAUCACCCCUCAAGCUUCGGCUUGGUGUUGAGGCCUGCUGUAAAGGCACCCUCUAAAAUCAGUGGCAGUGCUGUCAGGCUCUAAGCGUAGUAAUUUCAUCGCUAUAGGGUCCUGGUGGAUACUCGUCAAAACCCCCCCAUUUUUUAAUGAUUGACCUCGGAUUAGGUAGGGAUACCCGCUGAACUUAAGCAUAUCAAUAAGCGGAGG
This 551-nucleotide ribosomal RNA is filed under the name uncultured fungus. RNAcentral's name for it is "eukaryotic LSU rRNA". The stretch from base 190 to 343 matches the Rfam family "5.8S ribosomal RNA". Lineage: Eukaryota; Fungi. The record is from RNAcentral.